This is a long non-coding RNA of Armigeres subalbatus, 634 nucleotides long. RefSeq lists it as uncharacterized. The record is from RefSeq and is a predicted model, not a curated record. The transcript is spliced from 2 exons. NCBI's taxonomy places the organism in Eukaryota, Metazoa, Arthropoda, Insecta, Diptera, Culicidae.
CUUUUUGCAUUGAAACUUUUCGUUUCGUCACUGAAACCAUUGACACUUGUCUUCAGCGACUGCUUCCGCGAUAGAGCAUUUGCACAUUUUAUUCACUCAUACAUCUAUAUUUCUGUCAAAAUGUGCAUUUGACAACUAAAUUUUCAGCUAAAAGCUCUAUUUUUUGACACCGGUGCACUCACACAACCAAUCGACAUCAGUUGUCAAAAAAUCAGGAGUACCAACUUGACCACUAUUUCCUUGUCGCCGAGUCUGGCGCUGAGUGCUUGGCGCGGAAACCCAAAGGCAGCAUUUGUCGUCCUUUCCGAAGUGGCACUUUUCGGUUUGCUUCUGGCACAUCCGGUGAAGGUAUAAAGCAAAACAGCGAUGGGUGGAAUCCUCCAAGUGGCACUGCAGAACGAGAAUUUCUGGAUUUUCAGUAAGGUCUUCCGGUCCAGAACGUACCUCAUCGUCCGAAGUUUAGAAGACCAGGAAAUUUUCAGAAUGUUUCCGCUACUUAUGCCGAUGCCGCACUGUUUUUUCGGUCCUGAAUUGUCUUUGCGUUGUGUGACCUUGAUGGCCAGGAGUAAUGAUAUAUUGCAAAAAUGAAAUGUAACUGAUUUUAAGGAAAUAAAAUGAAACUUAUAUUUUAGAA